Molecule: ribosomal RNA, 253 nt
Filed under: uncultured bacterium
Lineage: Bacteria
Description: partial 16S ribosomal RNA
Rfam family: Bacterial small subunit ribosomal RNA
Source: RNAcentral
UACGUAGGGCGCAAGCGUUGUCCGGAAUUAUUGGGCGUAAAGAGCUCGUAGGCGGUUUGUCGCGUCUGCUGUGAAAUCCCGAGGCUCAACCUCGGGCUUGCAGUGGGUACGGGCAGACUAGAGUGCGGUAGGGGAGACUGGAAUUCCUGGUGUAGCGGUGGAAUGCGCAGAUAUCGGGAGGAACACCAGUGGCGAAGGCGGUUGCCUGGAGCUUUGCUGACGCUGAUGCGCGAAAGCGUGGGGAGCGAUCCGG